UACGGAGGGUGCAAGCGUUAUCCGGAUUCACUGGGCUUAAAGCGUGUGUAGGCGGGCGGGCAAGUACCUUGUGAAAUCCCACGGCUCAACCGUGGAACUGCUGGGUAUACUGCCUGUCUUGAGCCAUCUAGGGGCUACCGGAACAAAUGGUGGAGCGGUGAAAUGCGUAGAUAUCAUUUGGAACGCCAAUGGUGAAAACAGGUAGCUGGGGAUGUGCUGACGCUGAGACACGAAAGCCAGGGGAGCGAACGGG
RNAcentral lists this ribosomal RNA (253 nucleotides) under uncultured prokaryote. Its description in RNAcentral is "partial 16S ribosomal RNA". It matches the Rfam family "Bacterial small subunit ribosomal RNA", at positions 524 to 776 of the family's 1533-position model. The record is from RNAcentral.